ACAAAUGAGUUUGAUUAUAUAUGAAGCUGAGACAUGAGACAUGACUAACUUUUGCUCUUUAUGAACAUGCUGCUCUUUGUCUUACUAUCAAGUAAAUAUUGAAGGUUAAGAUAUUGCUGAUGAUGUGCAGCUGAUGAUUGAUGCUGAUACGAGUCUCGGUGUGUUUGAGCAGCUCAUGUUUUCAUCAGAACAGUAUCUGUGAGGUUUAAUGCAUCAUGCAGUGCGGCUUCUCCCCGUGAUUCCUGAACAGAAGCAAUCAGCACUUGGUCAUUGAUUAUGUGUUAGAGUCCACGAGGAUGAAUCCUGUCAGACGCCGAUCAUCUGUCACUGCACCAGGGAGGCUCAAAACUGCUUUGAUUAUUGCCUGAACCGGCUGAACUUCUCAGAAGGCUAUUGUUUCGUCGAGGGGAGCGGCAGCUCUUAAAACUAGGCCAGCCAACACUGAG
Long non-coding RNA from Cyprinus carpio (common carp), 446 nucleotides. RefSeq lists it as uncharacterized. Lineage: Eukaryota; Metazoa; Chordata; Actinopteri; Cypriniformes; Cyprinidae. The transcript has 3 exons. The record is from RefSeq and is a predicted model, not a curated record.